AGCUUUACACAGUGGCAGUAUCGUAGCCAAUGAGGUUUUUCCAAGGCGUGAUUAUUGCUAAUUGAAAACAAAUAGACUUCUAAGGGAUAGUAAUAAAAUAAAUUAUAAUAU
Molecule: small nuclear RNA, 111 nt
Filed under: Neotoma lepida (desert woodrat)
Lineage: Eukaryota; Metazoa; Chordata; Mammalia; Rodentia; Cricetidae
Description: U4 spliceosomal RNA
Rfam family: U4 spliceosomal RNA
About the family: U4 small nuclear RNA (U4 snRNA) is a component of the major U2-dependent spliceosome. The structure of U4 snRNA from yeast and human has been reported. U4 snRNA presents a k-turn RNA motif in the 5p-SL related to recognition of Snu13 protein.
Source: Rfam by way of RNAcentral